GCCCUUGUAGUUCAAUUGGAUAGAACGCAUCCCUCCUAAGGAUGAGAUUGUAGGUUCAAAUCCUAUCAAGGGCG
RNAcentral lists this transfer RNA (74 nucleotides) under Candidatus Pacearchaeota archaeon. RNAcentral's name for it is "tRNA-Arg". It matches the Rfam family "tRNA". Rfam says of the family: Transfer RNA (tRNA) molecules are approximately 80 nucleotides in length. The record is from RNAcentral. Lineage: Archaea; Nanobdellati.